Molecule: ribosomal RNA, 480 nt
Filed under: uncultured bacterium
Lineage: Bacteria
Description: bacterial SSU rRNA
Rfam family: Bacterial small subunit ribosomal RNA
Source: RNAcentral
GACGAACGCUGGCGGCGUGCCUAACACAUGCAAGUCGAACGAGGUCCAUCCUUCGGGAGAAGACCUAGUGGCGAACGGGUGAGUAACACGUGAAGAACCUGCCCCGAAGACCGGGAUAACCCUCCGAAAGGAGAGCUAAUACCGGAUACCCCCACCGAACCGCAUGGUUUGGUGAGGAAAUGGAUUCCGCUUCGGGAGGGCUUCGCGGCCUAUCAGCUAGUUGGUGGGGUAACGGCCCACCAAGGCAUCGACGGGUAGCUGGUCUGAGAGGACGAUCAGCCACACUGGGACUGAGACACGGCCCAGACUCCUACGGGAGGCAGCAGUGGGGAAUCUUGCGCAAUGGGCGAAAGCCUGACGCAGCAACGCCGCGUGGGGGAUGAAGGGCUCUCGGGUUGUAAACCCCUUUCAGCAGGGACGAAUCAAGACGGUACCUGCAGAAGAAGCCCCGGCUAACUACGUGCCAGCAGCCGCGGUAAU